AUCCUGGCUCAGGAUGAACGCUAGCGGCAGGCUUAACACAUGCAAGUCGAGGGGCAGCGGGUUGUAGCAAUACAAUGCCGGCGACCGGCGAAAGGGUGAGUAACGCGUGAGCAACAUGCCCGAUAGUGGAGGAUAGUCGAUGGAAACGUCGCGUAAUACUCCGUAACAACAGAGACCGCAUGAUCUUUGUUUAAUAGAUUUAUUGCUAUCGGAUUGGCUCGCGUACCAUUAGCUAGUUGGCGGGGUAACGGCCCACCAAGGCGACGAUGGUUAGGGGUUCUGAGAGGAAGGUCCCCACAUUGGAACUGAGACACGGUCCAGACUCCUACGGGAGGCAGCAGUGAGGAAUAUUGGACAAUGGCCGGAAGGCUGAUCCAGCCAUGCCGCGUGCGGGAAGACGGCCCUAUGGGUUGUAAACCGCUUUUGUUGGGGAGCAAUAAGGGUCACGUGUGGCCUGAUGAGAGUACCCAGCGAAUAAGCAUCGGCUAACUCCGUGCC
RNAcentral lists this ribosomal RNA (498 nucleotides) under uncultured bacterium. Its description in RNAcentral is "bacterial SSU rRNA". It matches the Rfam family "Bacterial small subunit ribosomal RNA", at positions 16 to 509 of the family's 1533-position model. The record is from RNAcentral.